RNAcentral lists this long non-coding RNA (2452 nucleotides) under Homo sapiens (human). Its description in RNAcentral is "HSALNT0196512". The record is from RNAcentral. Lineage: Eukaryota; Metazoa; Chordata; Mammalia; Primates; Hominidae.
GGGAAGUUCCAGGCUGGUGCUGCUGCUGCUGUGGCUGCCAUCCCUUGUCCCUAAGUCUGGGCCCCAGGCCCUGGGUACAGCUCCCUUCCUCACCCUGCCAGGGCCCAUGACCUCCUUCCGUCCUUUCAGGAUUUUGCAGGAAGUGGAAGAGGCGUGUAGAAGGUGCCAGAGGACAGACAGGAAGCCAAGAGAGGCAUGGAGAGCAGGUGCAGCAGAGAGAGCACUGUUUGCUUAGAGAUGAUUUCAUAGAGCGCUGGAUGGAAAGAAAUCUGUCCUCAGUUGCUGGGGUGGCCUCUUGACACCCCCGCUCUUCGCAACAGCCUGGAGAAGACCCCACCCCGUCUCAGCAAAUAUGAGGCGUGUCUAUCCUGCCACUCUCCACCCCAGGAGCAGGCAUUGGUAAUCCAUCCCAUCACUCUUGUCCACUGAUUCCAGAUAAAGCCUUUAAUUCUUUGCAACAGAGUGUCGAAGGCAAUAGAUGCCAAAGGUUGAAGCUAUUACGGUUUUGUUUUGUUUUUUUCUGAGACAGGGUCUCACUCUGUUGUCCAGGCUGGAGUACAGUGGCACCAUCUCAGCUCACUGCAACCUCUGCCUCCUGGGCUCAAGCAAUUCUCCUGCCUCAGCCUCCCAAGUAACUGAGACUACGGGCAUGUGCCACCACCGCUGGCUAAUUUUUAUGUUUUUAGUAGAGACAGGGUUUUGCUAUGUUGCCCAGGCUGGUUUUGAACUCUUGGACUCAAGCAAUCCUCCCUCCUCAGCCUCCCCAGGUGCUGGGAUUACAGGUGUGAGCCGCCACACCCAGAAGCAGCUAGUAAUUGAUGACACUUGCUUUACAUUCCAGACCUAGAUGUCUUCCCCUGCCUUCAUUGGGAGGGUGCUGAGCCACGGGUUCCACCUCUGCCAAAGGCACACCUAGGAGACUCCUCAUGUCCAGCUGAGAAGAGGGGGACACCUCCUGUCUGAGACUGCAGCUCACACUGCUGCAUGCUUCCUGGACACCAUCUCUCUGACCUUGGUCGCAUCUGCCUAGCCUGCAGCUACGUUCUCUGACCUCCAGCUCUUCCUCUUUCUCCCCUCGGUAAUACCAAAGUCUCAAGAACACAGCCCUCACUUCUAGACAGAAAGGCCUCACCAGGACCCACCUGUGUGGCCCAGGUGUGACCUCAUGUACAAACACAUCUCCCAAAAUCACCAUCUCGUCAUCAUGGAUCCUAGUACUAUCCAUGAGUUAACUCUCAUUUCUGUGUUAAUCGGGGGUGCAGCACAUUUUGGUGCAGAUUCAUUGUGGCUUUGGGGUGCCAUUUGGGACUCUCCCCCAUGCACAAUGUGUGCCUAUCUCAUCAAAUUAAAUUAGGCUUGUUUUGGCCUGGCCAGUGUCCAUUCCUUCUUUUCCGGAUAAUAGCAUCUCAGUUUUCCAUGGGGAACAUUUCCUCUCCCACACACUAAAUGAAAUCAUAUCUGACAUGACUUGUAUGGAGGAUAUGACCCAACCCAGCAGAAACAUAGUGACUGGCUCAAGGGUGGCCAUAAGAUCCAGCUGGGCUGAUCAGAGUUGGCCCGGACAACUGAGCUAUCAGUCAUGAGGUGACCCCUUUCUGCUGUUACCAAAGUGAUAAGAGGUCAUCUAAGAGCUGUUGGGACCAUCUUUCCUCCAUUUGAGGAAAUCCAGCCCUAGAAUGAAGCCAACACCAGGAAAAGCAGAUCCAACGUACAACAGGAUACAGGUUCCCAAUGAUGUCAUUUAAGCGCCUGGAUCCAGCCAUGCCUGAAACCAUAAACUGCCAGACAUUUCUACUUAAGACUAUUUGAAUUGGAUUCAUUUCCCCUGCCACCAAAAGAUGCUUGGUUAAUACAAGUUAUUAAGAUAAGUCUGAGCAGCCUACAAAUAGGCAAACAAUUAUUAGGGGAAAUUACCUAAGACAUGUGGGAUAGGAGUAAUAUUGCUGGAUAAUGCAGAUGCUAGCAACACAAGGCAAAUAAUUGAAGAAUUGAUCACAGUUCCCACUCUAAAGAUACUGAAACCACAAUCCUACUUCUCUUUCAGGAGGGCAGGGUCCUAAGUGGCCAUCUGGUCUACCAGGGUGGUCUCCCCAUGAAAACAGGAAAUUGACAUUAGUCGGCAUGGGGUAGUUUAGUGAACCUGUGUUAGCUUCUCGUGAUAAGCAUAUUUUCUUCUAAACAGCCACAAGCCAUCUGUGUAAUGCUCUGUUCCAGAAUUCUGCGAAGAUCUCUUGCUGUCAGACAUACCCCAUCUGGGGUUUCCAGGAUCCAUAUCAUUUUCCCUUUUGGAAAAUUGGGGCCCUUGCCCAUCUUCAGGCUUUACUUACUUUCCAGCAAUUUCUCCUGGGUCCUCUUUCACUGUCUCCUGGCCAACCAUGAAUUCAAUUCUCUCUUUAGAACGUCUCUUCCUCCCGUGGGAUUGGAAAGAACAUUUGUCCUCAGCGGCAAAGGC